Molecule: long non-coding RNA, 269 nt
Filed under: Vigna radiata
Lineage: Eukaryota; Viridiplantae; Streptophyta; Magnoliopsida; Fabales; Fabaceae
Description: long non-coding RNA (VRAD_LNC003025)
Source: RNAcentral
AUGAUAAGUGAUUAUAUAUGUUAGUAUUCAAAUGUGAAAGUGUAUGGAGAUAUGUAUACAGUUUUAAAUGGUUUCAUAUGGAUAUAAAGGCUUUCAAAGGUAUGAAAGAGAGUUCCAAGGAGGAACUGCUCAGUGAAAGUUUCAAGUGUUGUUAGUAUGAAUGCAGGAGCUCAGUAUUGGGGAUUAUCCUGACACUCUAAUGGUCAUACAUUCUCAAAUAGAGAAGUUUGACACAUGUGGUGAGAGUAGCAGGAGGUCUGAGCCUGAGG